CCCUACGGGGCGCAGCAGGCGCGAAAACUUUACAAUGCGGGAAACCGUGAUAAGGGGACACCGAGUGCCAGCAUCAUAUGCUGGCUGUCCAGGUGUGUAAAAUACACCUGUUAGCAAGGGCCGGGCAAGACCGGUGCCAGCCGCCGCGGUAACACCGGCGGCCCGAGUGGUGAUCGUGAUUAUUGGGUCUAAAGGGUCCGUAGCCGGUUUGGUCAGUCCUCCGGGAAAUCUGAUAGCUCAACUAUUAGGCUUUCGGGGGAUACUGCCAGACUUGGGGCCGGGAGAGGUAAGAGGUACUACAGGGGUAGGGGUGAAAUCCUGUAAUCCC
Molecule: ribosomal RNA, 328 nt
Filed under: uncultured archaeon
Lineage: Archaea
Description: bacterial SSU rRNA
Rfam family: Archaeal small subunit ribosomal RNA
Source: RNAcentral